RNAcentral lists this ribosomal RNA (253 nucleotides) under uncultured bacterium. Its description in RNAcentral is "partial 16S ribosomal RNA". It matches the Rfam family "Bacterial small subunit ribosomal RNA", at positions 524 to 776 of the family's 1533-position model. The record is from RNAcentral.
UACGGGGGGGGCAAGCGUUGUUCGGAAUUACUGGGCGUAAAGGGCUCGUAGGCGGCCAACUAAGUCGGACGUGAAAUCCCUCGGCUUAACCGGGGAACUGCGUCUGAUACUGGAUGGCUUGAAUCCGGGAGAGGGAUGCGGAAUUCCAGGUGUAGCGGUGAAAUGCGUAGAUAUCUGGAGGAACACCGGUGGCGAAGGCGGCAUCCUGGACCGGCAUUGACGCUGAGGCGCGAAAGCCAGGGGAGCAAACGGG